UACUUUAGGAUCGGCCCGCGGCUUAUCAGCUAGUUGGUAGGGUAACGGCCUACCAAGGCUAUGACGGGUAGGCGGAGUGAGAGCUUGACCGCCAACAAGGGCACUGAGACACGGGCCUUACUCCUACGGGAGGCAGCAGUCGAGAAUAUUGGUCAAUGGGCGAAAGCCUGAACCGGCGACGCCGCGUGCUUGAGGAAGCCCUUCGGGGUGUAAAGAGCUUUUUCCGCCGAUGAAGCUUCGGCUGACAGUAGGCGGAGAAUAAGGGGAUGCUAAUCACGUGCCAGCAGCAGCGGUAAUACGUGAUCCCCAAGCGUUAUCCGGAUUUAUUGGGUGUAAAGGGUCCGUAGGCGUCCCGCAAGGUUUUCCGUUAAAUCUCUAGGGCUCAACCUUAGAGCUGCGGAAAAAACCGGCGGGAUAGAGGGCGUUAGAGGCUGAUAGAACGCACGGUGUAGGGGUGGCAUCCGUUGAUAUCGUGCGGAAUACCAAAAGCGAAGGCAUUCAGCUGGGGCGACCCUGACGCUGAGGGACGAAAGCGUGGGUAGCAAAAAGGAUUAGAUACCCUUGUAGUCCACGCUGUAAACGAUGGACACUAGCUAUCCGAAGUGUCGACCCUUCGGGUGGCCAAGCUAACGCGUUAAGUGUCCCACCUGGGAAGUACGGCCGCAAGGCUAAAACUCAAAGGAAUAGACGGGGACUCACACAAGCGGUGGACCAUGUGGCUC
RNAcentral lists this ribosomal RNA (722 nucleotides) under uncultured bacterium. Its description in RNAcentral is "bacterial SSU rRNA". It matches the Rfam family "Bacterial small subunit ribosomal RNA", at positions 216 to 947 of the family's 1533-position model. The record is from RNAcentral.